AGUGAACGCUGGCGGUAGGCCUAACACAUGCAAGUCGAACGGCAGCACAGUAAGAGCUUGCUCUUACGGGUGGCGAGUGGCGGACGGGUGAGGAAUACAUCGGAAUCUACUUUUUCGUGGGGGAUAACGUAGGGAAACUUACGCUGAUACCGCAUACGACCUACGGGUGAAAGCAGGGGAUCUUCGGACCUUGCGCGAUUGAAUGAGCCGAUGUCGGAUUAGCUAGUUGGCGGGGUAAAGGCCCACCAAGGCGACGAUCCGUAGCUGGUCUGAGAGGAUGAUCAGCCACACUGGAACUGAGACACGGUCCAGACUCCUACGGGAGGCAGCAGUGGGGAAUAUUGGACAAUGGGCGCAAGUCUGAUCCAGCCAUACCGCGUGGGUGAAGAAGGCCUUCGGGUUGUAAAGCCCUUUUGUUGGGAAAGAAAAGCAGCAGGUUAAUACCCCGCUGUUCUGACGGUACCCAAAGAAUAAGCACCGGCUAACUUCGUG
This 492-nucleotide ribosomal RNA is filed under the name uncultured bacterium. RNAcentral's name for it is "partial 16S ribosomal RNA". It matches the Rfam family "Bacterial small subunit ribosomal RNA", at positions 29 to 507 of the family's 1533-position model. The record is from RNAcentral.